Molecule: ribosomal RNA, 1065 nt
Filed under: Triticum aestivum (bread wheat)
Lineage: Eukaryota; Viridiplantae; Streptophyta; Magnoliopsida; Poales; Poaceae
Description: partial small subunit ribosomal RNA
Source: RNAcentral
AUGUGGCAUUGCUGCCAGCCAGCCAGGCUCAUCAUCGGCUGCCUGCCUCGCCACAGCUCGCCGGCGCAUUUACUCGGCGUGAAUGCGGAUGAUUUCUCCACCCGAUUCGCUCCGCGCUCGCCGUUUUCGGGCCUCCCGCGUUCGUCUCUUCCUGCUUCGUCCAGGCAGGAGCACGUUCUCGCGUUAGCUUCUUUCCGUUUUGGACGCUUGGAGCUCGACGCGGGCACCGGCAUCAAUUGUUCUUUGAUCCUCUCGCAUCUGGCCGCUCUUGGACUGAUUGGUUUUCCACGAUGCUCUAGUGACCCAUGUGUGGCACCCAACCGCAUGCCUCGGAAAACUUUCUUUCCGUUUUGGACAGGACGAGGUGGACUGGAGCUCAUCUUCAGCCAGAAAGACCCGAACAUCCCCAUGGUGUCGACUAUCAUUAUUAUGGACGCGGCUCCUCUGACGUACGACGCAUACACUGCCGUAUGGACCCAGACCCACCUGUCAGUGGCCCCACGUCAGGAGGCCGUACGUCAGGGGAUCCUGCUCCCAUUAUUAUGCAUUGCUUUCCACACCAAACUUGCGUGUCUUGGGAUAUUGGAACAACAGCCCGGGCCGCGUGGUCGACACCGGAAGCAGGGCCGAUUACAUGCCCCCCAAACCAGGAUGUACGUUUGUACGCCCAACUCCCCCUCCCCUGUACCCCCUGCCCACAUCGGCCUCGGCAAGGGCGGCGCCAAGCGCCGCCGGAAGGUGCUCCGCGACAACAUCCAGGGCAUCACCAAGCCGGCCAUCUGUCGUCUGGCGCGCAGGGGCGGCGUGAAGCGCAUCUCGGGGCUCAUCUACGAGGAGACCCGCGACGUGCUCAAGAUCUUCCUGGAGAACGUCAUCCGCGAUGCCGUCACCUACACGGAGCACGCCCGCCGCAAGACCGUCACCGCCAUGGACGUCUCGUCUACGCGCUCAAGUGCCAGGGGCGAACCCUCUACGGAUUUGGCGGCUGAUCCUGCGGCCGCUGCUCCAAUCUUCAUUGUUUCGACUCUGCUAGCUGCUGUUCUGGUGCUAUGGUUUCGUUUCUGA